This 440-nucleotide ribosomal RNA is filed under the name uncultured bacterium. RNAcentral describes it as "partial 16S ribosomal RNA". It matches the Rfam family "Bacterial small subunit ribosomal RNA", at positions 338 to 795 of the family's 1533-position model. The record is from RNAcentral.
CCUACGGGCGGCUGCAGUGGGGAAUAUUGCACAAUGGGGGAAACCCUGAUGCAGCGACGCCGCGUGGAUGAUGAAGUUUUUCGGAUUGUAAACUCCUAUUGUUAGGGAAGAUAAUGACGGUAUCUAACGAAUAAGCACCGGCUAACUACGUGCCAGCAGCCGCGGUAAUACGGAGGGUGCAAGCGUUACUCGGAAUCACUGGGCGUAAAGAGCGCGUAGGCGGGAGAGCAAGUCAGAUGUGAAAUCCUAUGGCUUAACCAUAGAACUGCAUUUGAAACUGUUAUUCUAGAGUAUGGGAGAGGUAGGUGGAAUUCUUGGUGUAGGGGUAAAAUCCGUAGAGAUUAAGAGGAACACUCAUGGCGAAGGCGACUUGCUAGAAUAUAACUGACGCUGAGGCGCGAAAGCGUGGGGAGCAAACAGGAUUAGAUACCCGAGUAGUC